CCUACGGGAGGCAGCAGUGAGGAAUAUUGGUCAAUGGGCGCAAGCCUGAACCAGCCAUCCCGCGUGCAGGAAGACGGCCCUAUGGGUUGUAAACUGCUUUUCCAGGGGGUGAAACUCCCGUACGAGUACGGGACUGACGGUACCUUGGGAAUAAGCAUCGGCUAACUCCGUGCCAGCAGCCGCGGUAAUACGGAGGAUGCGAGCGUUAUCCGGAUUUAUUGGGUUUAAAGGGUGCGUAGGCGGAUUAAUAAGUCAGUGGUGAAAUCCUGCAGCUUAACUGUGGAACUGCCAUUGAUACUGUUAGUCUUGAGUAUGGUCAAGGUAGGCGGAAUGUGUAAUGUAGCGGUGAAAUGCUUAGAUAUUACACAGAACACCGAUUGCGAAGGCAGCAUACUGGGCCAUUACUGACGCUGAGGCACGAAAGCGUGGGGAUCAAACAAGAUUAGAUACCCUGGUAGUCCACGCCGUAAACGAUAAUUACUCGCUGUUGGCGAUACACUGUCAGCGGCUAAGCAAAAGCAAUAAGUAAUCCACCUGGGGAGUACGGCCGCAAGGUUGAAACUCAAAUGAAUUGACGG
This 578-nucleotide ribosomal RNA is filed under the name uncultured bacterium. Its description in RNAcentral is "bacterial SSU rRNA". It matches the Rfam family "Bacterial small subunit ribosomal RNA", at positions 338 to 916 of the family's 1533-position model. The record is from RNAcentral.